CAAGUUAGAGCUUGUGAAAGCGUUUUAUUUACAUUAAAAUGAAAAUUGUAAUACAAUUUAAUUUGA
This 66-nucleotide transfer RNA is filed under the name Bostrichoidea sp. 9 KM-2017. RNAcentral describes it as "tRNA-Val". Lineage: Eukaryota; Metazoa; Arthropoda; Insecta; Coleoptera. The record is from RNAcentral.